Molecule: unclassified non-coding RNA, 203 nt
Filed under: Hevea brasiliensis (rubber tree)
Lineage: Eukaryota; Viridiplantae; Streptophyta; Magnoliopsida; Malpighiales; Euphorbiaceae
Source: RNAcentral
GAUGAGAAUGGAUGCUCCUCUUCUCAUUUGGGCUGUGGAAGACUAAGCAACGAAGAAGGGAAUUCAAUGGCUUCAUUUAGACCAUUGAAGCAAGCAAGGACGAUCGGUGGCGUUGGAGCUCGAGGUGGUGAAGUAGAAGAUGAUCAUGAUCAUAAUCAUGGUCAAGCAGAGUCAAGAUCAACCGCCAUUAUUGACUCCCUCAA